AGAGUUUGAUCAUGGCUCAGGAUGAACGCUGGCGGUCUGCUUAACACAUGCAAGUCGAACGAACUCUUCGGAGUGAGUGGCGGACGGGUGAGUAACGCGUGAGAAUCUACCUGUGGGUCGGGGACAACCACUGGAAACGGUGGCUAAUACCGGAUGAGCCGAAAGGUAAAAGAUUUAUUGCCCACAGAUGAGCUCGCGUCUGAUUAGCUAGUUGGUAAGGUAAAAGCGUACCAAGGCGACGAUCAGUAGCUGGUCUGAGAGGAUGAGCAGCCACACUGGGACUGAGACACGGCCCAGACUCCUACGGGAGGCAGCAGUGGGGAAUUUUCCGCAAUGGGCGAAAGCCUGACGGAGCAAGACCGCGUGGGGGAGGAAGGUUUUUGGAUCGUAAACCCCUUUUGUCAAGGAAGAAGCUCUGACGGUACUUGACGAAUAAGCCUCGGCUAACUCCGUGCCAGCAGCCGCGGUAAUACGGAGGAGGCAAGCGUUAUCCGGAAUGAUUGGGCGUAAAGCGUCUGUAGGUGGCCAGCUAAGUCUGCUGUUAAAGAUCACAGCUCAACUGUGGGAAGGCAGUGGAAACUGGCAAGCUAGAGGUUGGUAGGGGU
This 605-nucleotide ribosomal RNA is filed under the name uncultured cyanobacterium. Its description in RNAcentral is "bacterial SSU rRNA". It matches the Rfam family "Bacterial small subunit ribosomal RNA", at positions 8 to 658 of the family's 1533-position model. The record is from RNAcentral. Lineage: Bacteria; Bacillati; Cyanobacteriota.